GACGAACGCUGGCGGCGUGCUUAACACAUGCAAGUCGAACGGAAAGGCCCUGCUUGCCGGGUACUCGAGUGGCGAACGGGUGAGUAACACGUGGGUGAUCUGCCCUGCACUUCGGGAUAAGCCUGGGAAACUGGGUCUAAUACCGGAUAGGCGCCAUUUUUAGUGUGAUGGUUGGAAAGUUUUUUCGGUGUAGGAUGAGCUCGCGGCCUAUCAGCUUGUUGGUGGGGUAAUGGCCUACCAAGGCGGCGACGGGUAGCCGGCCUGAGAGGGUGGACGGCCACAUUGGGUCUGAGAUACGGCCCAGGCUCCUACGGGAGGAAGCAGUGGGGAAUAUUGCACAAGGGGCGCAAGGCUGAUGCAGCGACGCCGCGUGGGGGAUGACGGCCUUCGGGUUGUAGACUCCUUUCGCUAGGGACGAAGCUGUUUGUGACGGUACCUAGAGAAGAAGCACCGGCUAACUACGUG
Molecule: ribosomal RNA, 465 nt
Filed under: uncultured bacterium
Lineage: Bacteria
Description: partial 16S ribosomal RNA
Rfam family: Bacterial small subunit ribosomal RNA
Source: RNAcentral